UAGGGAAUCUUCCGCAAUGGACGAAAGUCUGACGGAGCAACGCCGCGUGAGUGAAGAAGGUUUUCGGAUCGUAAAACUCUGUUGUAAGGGAAGAACAAGUACGUUAGUAACUGAACGUACCUUGACGGUACCUUACCAGAAAGCCACGGCUAACUACGUGCCAGCAGCCGCGGUAAUACGUAGGUGGCAAGCGUUAUCCGGAAUUAUUGGGCGUAAAGCGCGCGUAGGCGGUCUCUUAAGUCUGAUGUGAAAGCCCCCGGCUCAACCGGGGAGGGUCAUUGGAAACUGGGAGACUUGAGUGCAGAAGAGGAGAGUGGAAUUCCAUGUGUAGCGGUGAAAUGCGCAGAGAUAUGGAGGAACACCAGUGGCGAAGGCGGCUCUCUGGUCUGUAACUGACGCUGAGGUGCGAAAGCGUGGGGAUCAAACA
Molecule: ribosomal RNA, 427 nt
Filed under: uncultured Macrococcus sp.
Lineage: Bacteria; Bacillati; Bacillota; Bacilli; Caryophanales; Staphylococcaceae
Also listed under: 1 other name
Description: bacterial SSU rRNA
Rfam family: Bacterial small subunit ribosomal RNA
Source: RNAcentral